This 2284-nucleotide long non-coding RNA is filed under the name Sus scrofa (pig). RNAcentral's name for it is "lncRNA (ENSSSCG00065008061.1)". Lineage: Eukaryota; Metazoa; Chordata; Mammalia; Artiodactyla; Suidae. The record is from RNAcentral.
GAAUUCUCUCUCCCUCACCGCCCCCACCCUCCCAUGCGCGCGCGCGCGCACACGCGCGCGCACACACACACACACACACACACACGUGCAUGAGCACAGGAAAGAGGAACCAUGCCUGGCUCCCAGCUCAGGGCUGCAGCCACCUUGCUGUGUGCAUCCCACACACAGAGCAUUCCAUCCCCCCAAAGCUGUGACCUCCCCAACCCAACAGCCCAAAGCAAUUACUAGCACCCAAUUAAUCAACUCUUCCUAGACAUUGAACUCCUAGUCAGAGCAGCAGGGGCACGCUGAGGCCUGCCUGAAAACACAAAAGGGAGUUGCUUUAAGUGUUCUGAGCUGGGGCACUGCAGAGGCAGAUUUUUCCCCCUUUUCAGCUGCUUAAAGCGACAGAACCUUCUAGAGCUCUGUGCCCCCGCCAGGGAGCGGGAAUCUCAUCAGAUGGAGUUGGUCCCCACUACCUGCCCAGCAAGGAUUUUCCAGGCAAACAUUGCUUUCAAGUGGUGAAAGUAGUAGCAAUUGUCAGUUAAGAAACACCUACUAUGUGCCAGGCACUGACUCUCCAUGAUCAAUUUCCACUUGAGCUAGGUGCCAUUGUUCGGGCUUUACAGACAAGGCAACUAAAAGUUGGUGACAUCAAGAAAUUGGCUGUAUGGCAGCUGGUUAGCUCAGUUGGUUAGAGCAUAGUGCUAAUAAAAAAUUGGCUGAAACUCACACAGCUGGCGAGUGACCUGCCCACGUUAGGUUGUAACCGCAACCCCUGUGUCAUCAUGACCAUGAUGGAACCUCCAGGUUUCCUGGGACUGCUGGGACAAAUUACCAUGAACUUGGUGGUGUAAGACAACAGAAACUUGUUUCCUCACAGUUGUGGAGGGCAGAAUCCACUAUCAAGGUGCCAGCAGAGCUGUGCCCCCUCCAAAGGCUUCUCCCGGGUCCUGAUGGCUCCAGGCUGGUGGCAGCAUAACUCCAGUCCGUGCCUCUGUCAUCACAUGGCUUUUCCCUCUGCGUGCCUGGGUUUUCUUUUCUGUCUCUUAUAAGGACGGUCGUUGUUGGACUUAGGUCCCAUCCUCAUGAUCCAGGGUGAUCUUGAAGUCUGUGUCUAAAUGGCAUCUACAAAACCCUAUUUCCAAAAAUGAUCACAUUCAGAGGCCACAGGGGCCACUAAUCAUCUCCCUGCGCUCUGCGAGGACAAGGAUUUUGCCUUUCGUUUGCUGACGUAUUCCAGGUGACUAGAACAGUGGCUGAUUCGUAACAGGUGUUCAAUAGAACUUCCUGAAGGUGCAAAUGAAUGCGCGAAUAACCGAGGUGACAGAGCUGAGACUCAAAACCUGGUUAGCUGGACUCUGAAACCUCUUCCUUGAGGCUCCCUCUGUUUCCUAGACUCCUAGCCGUCAACAACUCAAUACCUUUCUUUUAAAAGAGACUUUAUUUUUCUGAAUCUAACCAUGAGGAAACAUCACACCAUUCCAACUGGGGGGGUGCAUCCUACGAAAUAAUGGACCUAGGCUCUACAAAGGCAUCAAGGUCACGAACGACUAGAGAAGGCUGAGAACAAAGACGCAACUGGUAAAUGCAACACAUGACCCUGGCUUGGAUCCUGGAUGGGGAAAAGUAGCUACAAAGGACAUUAUUGAAACAAGUGGUAAAAAUGUGCCAUGGAACUCCCAGAUUGGCUAAUAGCACUAUGACUCCAUGUGUAUGUAUGUGUGUGUGUGGGUGUGUGUGUGUGUGUGUACACACAGGAAUGAAUGGUAACAUUAACAUGACAGAAUGUUGACAAUUGAUGAAUCUGGAUGAAGCAUAUGAGGGAUCUCUUUGUGCUUUUCUUGCAAUGCUUCUGCAAUUUGAAAUUAUUUUUAUUUUUUAUUUUUUAUUUUUUAUUUUACUUUUUAUGUCCACACCCACAGCACGUGGAAGUUAUCAAGCCAGGGAUUGAAUCCGCACCACAGUGGCAGCCUGAGCCACAGAAGUGACAAUACCAGAUCCUUAACCUGCUGGGCCACCAGGGAACUUCUGAAAUUGUUUUUAAAAACGAUAUUAGGAGUUCCCGUUGUGGCACAGUGGUUAACGAAUCCGACUAGGAACCAUGAGGUUGCGGGUUCGGUCCCUGCCCUUGCUCAGUGGGUUAACGAUCCGGCGUUGCCGUGAGCUGUGGUGUAGGUUGCAGACGUGGCUCGGAUCCCGCGUUGCUGUGGCUCUGGCGUAGGCUGGUGGCUACAGCUCCGAUUCGACCCCUAGCCUGGGAACCUCCAUAUGCCGCGGGAGCGGCCCAAGAAAUAGCAACAAC